Molecule: long non-coding RNA, 482 nt
Organism: Brienomyrus brachyistius
Lineage: Eukaryota; Metazoa; Chordata; Actinopteri; Osteoglossiformes; Mormyridae
Exons: 3
Source: RefSeq, a predicted model, not a curated record
UAUAGCAAAGGGUCCAUAUGCUGUGCCAGUGCCAGAGAUGCUGGAACGGGAACCGGGGUGGCUGCUCCUGUGUUUGCUUGGGAACUCGCUCUCCCCUGAGCAACGAGACACCGGGAGGGUGAGCAGGAGCCGGGCAGAUCCGGACAGGCCCGGUCCUGCUGGCCCCGCCGCGGGGAGGGCGGGCCAUCGAACCCGGACUCGCGUCCGCUUGUGAUUUUGGGUGUCAAAAGUGUGAGUCCGGCCUCUGGGGUCCGCAUAGCAACAGCGAGCGUAGGACAGAGGCCAGGUGGGGCAGGGGCGUGGCCGGGUGUUACCAGGCAUGGCAGGUAAGGCGUGGCGUGGUAUGGCGAGGUAGGGCGUGCAGUGGCGAGGUAGGGCGCAGCAUGGCGAGGUAGGGCGCAGCAUGGCGAGGUAGGGCGUGCAGUGGCGAGGUAGGGCGCAGCAUGGUGAGGUAGGGCGCAGCAUGGUGAGGUAGGGCGCAG